UUUAGAUUCGUGAUUGGUUGCUGAAGCUUGAACAUUCCAUUAUUUAUUCAUUAUCAAUCAUAACCUGAUACUUCAUGAACAUAUAUAGACUGUAAGUGUAAGACUUUGUUCUUUUGUACACGUAUUUGAACUACUAUAACUGUCAUGUUAUGCACCCAUACUAGAGCCAGGUACUAAAAUUGUUCAUCCUGAUUUUGCAUUUGACUUUACGAACUACUUUACUUACCCUGCAUACUAGGUUUUAAUAUUAGUACCAAUGAAUUACCCGGUUUUAGUGUGUGCCGAACCUUUCUCUGGUUUUAUUAUACAUAACAUGAUUUUUAGACGAAUGCAUUUCUACCGUACAACAUUGGUGUUUAUGAUGAGUUUAUUUACAACCACUGGGUCGGUGCCACUGCUUUGGAUGUUUCCUCUCCAAAGGUUACACGAGGCCAUUACUCAGCACUUCGGUUUGACAAUAAUUAUCCGGCGCUGAUGAGUCUACUUAAGGCAUAACGCUGGUUUGACGUUCUAAAUUUCGCUCCUGGGUAUAUAUGAUGAGUUUAUUUAUAAGCUAAAUACAAUUAUUAAAAUGUAACCUUGAACUUCAAAUAUAUUUUUACACCAGACUGGUUCUUUAUGAAUUUUUUUGUCAUGUAUUUCAGAUAUUUUGAAAUGAUGAAAUGGGAACAGAAUGAAAAAUCAGACGAAAAAUGAAAAAUAAUCUACAAGAGAAAAGAAGAUGAAUUGUGUGGAUAUGAUUCCAAUCUAGUAUUUAAAAAAAGGACUUCUCUUGUUGUAAAGGAGGAACUGAAAAGUAUCACACAUGCGUAAUCCUUGACUUAUUAUUUUUAUUAAGUCUUCAAAACAUUAGAUUAAAGCGUACCGGACAGGACAUUGUCAUUUGAAGCAAAUUAAUCGUUUCUUCUUCAUGACCUUUUUUUGAGACACAAAACACGAUUUAUACAAAUUAUCUACAUCAAGGUUUUUAUACGACAGCAAAAAGUCGUAUAAUACUAUCAUGUCGUCAUCGUCAUCAUCGUCCGAAGACACAUUCUGUUUCCAGACAAUAACUUUAGAUUUAGUGAAUGGAUCUUCAUAAAAUUUUACCAAAAGGUUCAUUACUACUAAAGGAAGGUUGGGAUUGAUUUUGUGGGUUAUGGUCCCAAUAGCUUUGGAAUUAGGGGCCAAAAAGGGGUCCCAAUAUAAGCAUGUUUGUAGUUUUCAAACAAUAACUUGUGUUUAAGUGUAUGAAUCUCUCUGAAAUUAUACCACAAGUUUCCAUACCAUGAAGGAUUAGUUACUAUUGAUUUUUGGGGGUUAUGGUCCCAAUAGUUUAGGAAUUAGGGGCCAAAAAGGGGGCCCAAAAUAAGCAUUUUUGUAGUUUUCAAACAAAAACUUGUGUUUAAGUGUACGAAUCUCUCUGAAAUUAUACCACAAGUUUCCAUACAAUGAAGGGAUAUUUAGUACUGACUUUGGGGGGUUAUGGCUCAAAAAGUUUUGGAAUUAGGGGCAAAAAAGGGGGAAACUAGGCUUUUCUGACAAUUUAAAAGCAGUGUAAGGGAAGUAAUUCAAAAACAUUUAACAUACAAUGUUGGGUAUGUUCGUAUUUACCACCCUUACACUACCUGUAAAUAAUGUAUAAAGAAUAUCAGGUUGUUUUUUUUUUUAGCUAAACAGCGAAUACCUGAAUUGUUAUAGAUAUAUUUGUGCAAUAUUUGAAUAAAUUCAAUUGUAUGGAAUUUGAAUAAUCGUAUAUGUGCAGUAUAUUGGCACAUUGGUCACAUUUAUUUUUAUGCCCCAGCUACGAUAGUAGAGGGGCAUUAUCUUUUCUGGUCUAUGUGUCCGUUCAGGUCAUCUGCAUGUUGAGAUUGUAAAAUAUCAGCAGCAAGUCACAAUAUGAAACUUUUUGUCGAAUGAGAAUAAGGUCAGCCGAACUCUGUCAUACAUACAUGUUACCUUACAAUAAUUCCAGGCAUCAAACUAUGAUGCAGUUGACCUAUUGCAUAUCGUAAAAAUAAGGUCAAUGUCAGAUGAUUCCUGCCAGACAGAUAUAUACAACUUUCAGUUUUAAAAAAAUUAGUUUCAUGUCUUCUAAUUUUGUAUAGUUGCUAAUCCAUCAAAUUAUCCCGUAAAGCCUUCUGGUAAAUGUACCAAGCUUGAAUUAAACUUGUCAAAACAUUUAUUUUUAUGCCCCACCUACUAUAUUAGAGGGGCAUUAUGGUUUCUGGUCUGUGCGUCCGUCCGUCUGUUUGUUCGUUCGUUCAUUCGUCGGUUCGUCCGUCCGUCCGUCCGUCCGUCCCGCUUCAGGUUAAAGUUUUUGGUCAAGGUAGUUUUUGAUGAAGUUGAAGUCCAAUCAACUUGAAACUUAGUUCACAUGUUCCCCAUGAGAUGAUCUUUCUAAUUAUAAUGUCAAAUUAAAUUUUGACUCCAAUUUCACGGUCCA
This 2425-nucleotide long non-coding RNA is filed under the name Mytilus galloprovincialis (Mediterranean mussel). The record is from RNAcentral. Lineage: Eukaryota; Metazoa; Mollusca; Bivalvia; Mytilida; Mytilidae.